Nycticebus coucang (slow loris) is the source of this 4473-nucleotide long non-coding RNA. RefSeq lists it as uncharacterized. The transcript is spliced from 11 exons. NCBI's taxonomy places the organism in Eukaryota, Metazoa, Chordata, Mammalia, Primates, Lorisidae. The record is from RefSeq and is a predicted model, not a curated record.
GAAUGGACCCACCUGAGCCGAUUUUAGAAGCACUCUUCCAUGGCUAUGUGCUCUAGGGUUACAUCAGUGUCAUUGGUCACUGACCAGUUGAAGUAAUGAUCCAGCCUUUUACAAAUGUAAAAAUGAAUGAAGAAAAACUCAGCCAAUGAUUUCACAUGAGCCAAUGAUUCCGACUGGUGGCAUAUGAGUCAUAAGCUAUGAGUAAUAUAUGUGGGGCUCACAGCAGCAACACAACAUAGUUAGACUAUUCCUUCUGUUUGCAAGAAUCCUACAGACAGAUGUUUGGAAUCCACAAAAAUCUUGUUCAUGGAUUUAGAUUUAUUAGUAUUAAUGGAUCAAUGACAAAACUAUUAAAGAACUAUUUAAAAAGAUAUUGUCAAACUGUGAACAUAUGAAAGAGGCAAGAAAUGUUAAUACAAAUAGAGAAAACUGAUGUCCAUGAAGAAAAUAAUUGAAUCAAAGAUCCUCUGACUUAGGAUCAUAUAGACCACGAUAGUAAGAAUCAUUUUUAUUGUUCUGAAUCAGUUCCAAGUUUGAGGUUAUCCCUUUGUUAGGAGAGAGACUAUACACUUUAUGAAAAAAACAUGAAGUACUUGAAUGAGUAAGUAAAAGCAAUAUAGCAAGCAAGAAUCCUAAAGGAUGAGGUUUCCAAUUUUUUUCUCACUUGCUCUGCUCUCUUCUCAGAAUGUUUGCAUUCUAGCUGAUUGAGGUAUUCCUCCACAGGUGCGUGCUCUAUGGUUAAACCUAUUUGUUACCAGCAUAGAGAUCAAUAAUGGAUGUACUUGUUCUGGCUUGAGGAUUCAUCCAGGCUCUGUACUCUUCAGAAUAGAUGAUACGUGCUGAUUGAGGAUUUCAUGGUCAUAUGCCCAUUUGCAUCACAUACGGGAGUAUGCAGCCUAAUAAUGGACAUACUUGUGCUGACUUAAGGAUGUCUCGGUGGUCAUUUGCUGUGCUCGCACCAUGCUUAGCAUGUAUAACUAUAAUGGCUGUACUUUGCUGAUUUGUGGGUUCCUCCAAGGUCAAUAUUGUAUUUUCCCCAUGCUUAGGAAGGAGCAUGCAGACCUACAACGGAUGACUUCUCUAUGACUAGGUGCUCUGUUUGAACCAUGCAUAGGAAGAAGUAUGCAGACAAAUAAUGGACGUAUUUGUGAUGACUUAAAGAUUCUGCCAAGUUCACAUGCUUUAUUUGCACAAUGCUUCAGAAGGAGCAUGCAGAACAAUGUAAGUAGUCAGCAUUCUUGUCUUAGUUUGGGUGGUUUGUUUAAGAGGAUUCAAUGUAUUAUUAAAAAGGUCUAUAAUAUAAUAAAAGAUGGUCAAGUGUAUCUUAGUUAUAGAUAUAGGAAUGAUUUGAAGUAUUGUAUUGAAUACCCAAGGCUGUUCUUGGGUUUUUGAAAACCAAAGGUUUUUAAAUUAUUAGUGAAUUAAUGGAUCAAUCAAUAGAGAAAGUAAAAUGUAUGGAGAAAAAUAGGCAAAUUCUGGAUCGAUGAUGACUCCAUGUGGCAUAUUAGUUAUACGAUGAAUACAUCUGGGAUUCUGAGGUCCAUUACAAACGUCAAUUCCCUCUGUUUUAAAUGAUCCUAGAGGGAGAUGUCAGGAAUGUAUAAUGAAUUUGUUUUUGGUCUUUGUGUUUUUUUACAUUUUUUAAUUUUAUUUUAUAAUUGCAUUAGUGACAGACUUGGUAAACAAAUACAUAAUAUGUGUAAAUAAAGAUGAAUAAGAUUAAGCAUUGUCCAUAUAUAAAAGUAUGUGAUAAGGCAAGAAACACUAUUAAUAUGUAUUGAAACAGUGAAGUACAUAGAGAAAGAAAUGGUAUGUGUCUGUGACUUUGGAUCAUGAUGGUAUAGAUAGUAUAAAUCAUAGAAAAUAUUUAAGUUCUAUAUCAGCAACUAAUUCAAAACUGUUCACUUUCUUUAAAAAAAUGAAAAAAGAAACUUCAAAGAAUGAUUAUAUAAAUCACUCAUUUAAUGAUAGUGAAAAGCAAGGAUUAUUAGAAAACAUCUCAUUUUGUUAUCAUCUUCUCUGCCCUGUCUGUACUCCUGAGAAUGGACGAAUUUGCUGGUUUAAAGAUUCUCCCAUGGUCAUGUGCAGUGUUUGCAUCAUGGUUAGGUGCACACCAACGAAUAAUGGACGAUGUGUUCUGAUUUGAGGAUUCCUCCAUGGUUAUGUGCUCUGCUGGGACCAUCUCUAGGAACAAACAUAUAGAUCAAUAAGAUCUGUGGCUGCAUCAGCGUGUUAUAUGACUUAUGGAGACCUUGUAAAUGUGAAAGUUGGAAAGUCCCAUUACUAGGUAUCUAGUAGAUACCCAGAAGAACAAAAAUCAUUUUCCCACAAAGACAUUUGCACCAGAAAGUUUAUUGCAACUCAAUUCAUAAUUGCCAAGUCAUGGAAGCAAUCUACAUACUCAUCAACCCAUGAAUGGAUCAACAAAUUGUGGCACAUGUAUACCAUGAAAUACUAGUCAGCUAUUCAUGGUACUAUUAAAAAAUGUUAUAUAUAAUCAUUGAAAGUAUAUUUUGGUCUGAUUGUAAAAAUUGGAUUAAUAUAAAGUAUUAUGUUGAAUAAUGUCUAUAUAUAAUAUUAGAUUUAUUAAUUAAAGACUUGUAUUGCUGUAAUGAUUAUAUAAACAGGUAUUAGAGCUAUUCAAGCUAAUAAUUAUAUUGACAAAUGUUAGAGAUUACUCUUAAGUUUUUGUGAUUCUUAGGUAAUUAUUUUAUUAUUGUUAGUGAAAUGAUCAGUUAAUCAAUAAAAAUGUAUAGACACAAAUUAAGAAGAUGAGGGCCAAGUCUGAGCUACUGAUGACAGCUGGUGGUAUAUGAGUAAUGGAUGAUGACGACUAUUAAGUAUCUGGAACUCUGAAGUCCAAUUUAAGAGAAAUCUAGUCUACUAUAUGGGAUUAACUUUAUAUAGGGAAAUACUAUAGAUAGAUGUUAGCGGUAUCAAGGAUUGUGUGUUUCUGAUUCUAUGGUUCACUGAUUAUGAUUAUGUUAAUAUAAAUGGAAGUUUAUAUUAUAUAAACUAUAUAAAUAUAAAUAAAGAAAUAUUUAAAUGAUUAAAGAAGAGAGUGGGGCAUAUUGUAAUUGUUAAUAUCUGCAGCAAGGAAAGAAAUGGUAUUAAUAUAAUAAGUCAUGGAUAAUAAAUAGACCAAUGGUUUUAACUUUAGGUAAAAGUCAUGUACCCUGGCAACAACUAAUAAUCAGUUUUAUUGCUCUGGGUGUAUUGUAAGUUUGUUUUCUUAAGAGAAAAAUAAGCAAAUACUAUCAUAAGUUAAUAAAUACCAAAUGAUGAGUAAAUUAAAGAUGAAAUACAAAGACUAAUGGAUAGAAAGUAUCAAAUUUAUUUUCUGCUCUUCCAUGUACUCCUCAGAACAGAUACUCCUGUGCUGAUUUAAGUGUUCUGCGGUGGCCUCUAGCUCUAGGUUGUCUCAUGAGCACAGAGACUAAUGUGAGUAAUAGUCAAUGUUCUUGUUUUGGUUUGGGCCAUUUAAGAGUAGUCAAUGUAUUAUUAAGAAGUAGGAAACAUAAUUAAAGAAGUCUACCAUGAUCCCAUAACGUACAUGGGAUUGAUAAAAACAUUAUGUUGCAUAAUCUGUGUUGAAAACAAUGAGGUCAUUUCAAGAAAACAUAUAUUUCUACAGAUAGAAAAUAAGGGGAUCAUAGUUCUUGUUCUGUUUUUUUCCUAAUUAAUGCAUAUUUGUUUAUUAUGUGUAAUGAAUUAAUGAAUAAAUGAAUUGACAAAGUGUAAAUAAAGACAAAGGUGCAUGAUUGUGGUCUAGUGAUGGAUGGUUGAGGAUAAUAAAUAAAUGGGUAAGAAAGUUUAAGCUAUAAUAGAAAAGAAAUUAGUCUAUUGCUCCAUUGGAAAUGAUCCUAUAGACAGUAGUUUAAAAUAGUUAAUUAUUCUGUUCUUACAAUUUUGUGGUUCAUGGAUAAUAAUUAUUAUCAUUAUAAGUGAACUAAUGCUCAAGCAUUACUAGUAAAUGAAUAAAAAUAUGGCCAUGCCUGGACCAGCUAUGACAUAUGUAAUGAAAUAAAUCCUAGUACUAAUUUAUUUUUGAGCAGUUGGGAAUCAUGUUUUGUUUUUUUAAUCUCUGAUACUGAGGCACGUGUAGACAGAUGUAUGAAUUGUCAAUGUUUAUGUUCUAUGUUAUCUUUGGUUACUGGCUGUUUUAUUGCUAAAUAGGAAAGUCAUUUGUGUAAUUAAAUAAAAGCCUCAGCGCUAUUUAAAAAAGGAACAGUGAUAAAAGUUUUCUCUAUAAUAAGCUAUUGUGCUCACUAAAUUUCAUUACAAAGUUACAUCGUCUGUUAUCACUUUGCUACUGAGCAACUGUGCAUGUGAUACUGUUAUCCAUGUCACAGUCUUGGGUGUGUGUACAAGGAUACUGAUUAUAUCUUCAUAAUGAAUACAUGAAUAAACUAAUAAUAAUCAAUUACCUAAUAAAGACAAAACACUGGCAGUAAUGAGCAUGUCUUGAAAUAG